RNAcentral lists this non-coding RNA (47 nucleotides) under Streptomyces sp. NRRL S-146. Its description in RNAcentral is "L31-Actinobacteria ribosomal protein leader". It matches the Rfam family "L31-Actinobacteria ribosomal protein leader". Lineage: Bacteria; Bacillati; Actinomycetota; Actinomycetes; Kitasatosporales; Streptomycetaceae. The record is from RNAcentral.
UCGGCUCCGGUUCACGCUCGCGCACCCCGCGUCAGCGACCCGGCGCC